RNAcentral lists this ribosomal RNA (434 nucleotides) under uncultured Lachnospiraceae bacterium. RNAcentral describes it as "bacterial SSU rRNA". It matches the Rfam family "Bacterial small subunit ribosomal RNA", at positions 341 to 792 of the family's 1533-position model. Lineage: Bacteria; Bacillati; Bacillota; Clostridia; Lachnospirales; Lachnospiraceae. The record is from RNAcentral.
ACGGAAGGCAGCAGUGGGGGAUAUUGCACAAUGGGCGCAAGCCUGAUGCAGCGACGCCGCGUGAGUGAAGAAGUAUUUCGGUAUGUAAAGCUCUAUCAGCAGGGAAGAAAAUGACGGUACCUGACUAAGAAGCUCCGGCUAAAUACGUGCCAGCAGCCGCGGUAAUACGUAGGGGGCAAGCGUUAUCCGGAUUUACUGGGUGUAAAGGGAGCGUAGACGGUAGUGCAAGUCUGAAGUGAAAGCUCGCAGCUUAACUGCGGAACUGCUUUGGAAACUGUACAACUAGAGUACCGGAGGGGUAAGCGGAAUUCCUAGUGUAGCGGUGAAAUGCGUAGAUAUUAGGAAGAACACCGGUGGCGAAGGCGGCUUACUGGACGGUAACUGACGUUGAGGCUCGAAAGCGUGGGGAGCAAACAGGAUUAGAUACCCUGGUA